CCGUCUUCCUCGUGCCAGGAGCCCUCGCG
Molecule: ribosomal RNA, 29 nt
Filed under: Tacca palmata
Lineage: Eukaryota; Viridiplantae; Streptophyta; Magnoliopsida; Dioscoreales; Taccaceae
Description: partial 26S ribosomal RNA
Source: RNAcentral